AGUCGACGAUGAAGCUGGAGCUUGCUCCGGUGGAUUAGUGGCGAACGGGUGAGUAACACGUGAGCAAUCUGCCCUUGACUCUGGGAUAACUGCGGGAAACUGUAGCUAAUACCGGAUACGAGACUGAGAGGCAUCUUUCAGUCUGGAAAGAAUUUCGGUCAAGGAUGAGCUCGCGGCCUAUCAACUAGUUGGUGAGGUAAUGGCUCACCAAGGCGACGACGGGUAGCCGGCCUGAGAGGGUGACCGGCCACACUGGAACUGAGACACGGUCCAGACUCCUACGGGAGGCAGCAGUGGGGAAUAUUGCACAAUGGGCGAAAGCCUGAUGCAGCAACGCCGCGUGAGGGAUGAAGGCCUUCGGGUUGUAAACCUCUUUUAGCAGGGAAGAAGCGAAAGUGACGGUACCUGCAGAAAAAGCACCGGCUAACUACGUGCCAGCAGCCGCGGUAAUACGUAGGGUGCAAGCGUUGUCCGGAAUUAUUGGGCGUAAAGAGCUCGUAGGCGGUUUGUCGCGUCUGCUGUGAAAAUCCGAGGCUCAACCUCGGACCUGCAGUGGGUACGGGCAAACUAGAGUGCGGUAGGGGAGAUGGGAAUUCCUGGUGUAGCGGUGGAAUGCGCAGAUAUCAGGAGGAACACCGAUGGCGAAGGCACAUCUCUGGGCCGUAACUGACGCUGAGGAGCGAAAGCGUGGGGAGCGAACAGGAUUAGAUACCCUGGUAGUCCACGCCGUAAACGGUGGGUGCUAGUUGUGGGUUCCAUUCAC
RNAcentral lists this ribosomal RNA (763 nucleotides) under uncultured bacterium. Its description in RNAcentral is "bacterial SSU rRNA". It matches the Rfam family "Bacterial small subunit ribosomal RNA", at positions 60 to 836 of the family's 1533-position model. The record is from RNAcentral.